RNAcentral lists this ribosomal RNA (253 nucleotides) under uncultured bacterium. RNAcentral's name for it is "partial 16S ribosomal RNA". It matches the Rfam family "Bacterial small subunit ribosomal RNA", at positions 524 to 776 of the family's 1533-position model. The record is from RNAcentral.
UACGUAGGGGGCAAGCGUUGUCCGGAUUUAUUGGGCGUAAAGCGCGUGUAGGCGGCUUUGCAAGUCGGGUGUGAAAGCCCUCAGCUCAACUGAGGAAGUGCGCCCGAAACUGCAGAGCUUGAGUGCCGGAGAGGGUGGCGGAAUUCCCCAAGUAGAGGUGAAAUUCGUAGAUAUGGGGAGGAACACCGGUGGCGAAGGCGGCCACCUGGACGGUAACUGACGCUGAGACGCGAAAGCGUGGGGAGCAAACGGG